GGAAGAGCUCAUUAUGUAGUCAGAAAAUCUACCCUGCCCCAGAGAGCUCUCUCGAAAGAUGAUUUCCGACAUUUACGCCAGGAACUGGCAGACAGGGCCCUAGCUGAGGCCAGUUCCGCGGAUGUUCAGGGGUUAAAUCUCGGCAACUCCCCGCCCCCACCCCACCCCACCUCGCCGCUCCCGCCUCGCGCGUGCGCGCGUGCGAGGCCUCGGGCCAUAGAGCUAAGCAAGCCUCCCAGAUUCCUAGAGCGGACAGCGCGAUGGCGGGUUUACCGGGUGGGAGGCUUGACGACGACCUGGAGAACACAUCAAGAGGAUGUUUUUGCUGGUCUAGUCUCAGAAAUUAUAUCUUCAGUCUCUGCAAUGAUUCCCUUCCAAGUCCAAUGGUGCCCAGUUGCCUCCAGGCCCCAGACUUCUAUGUGAACAAGAAAAGCUCACUGAGGAAAUGGUAAUUCUUCAGUUGCUCCCUGAGAUGUCAUGUCCAGUUGCUGUCUAUGGAGACUCAGUUCAGUUAUGAGUCUUAAAAACACCUGUCAGGUGAGAAGCAGUGUGUAUCUUUUUUAAUGGUUGGGGGAGGGGGCGGUUUGGGGUUACCUUACUAUGUUAGUAUCUUCCGGUGCUGUUGGUAUUUCUCAUUGCCAAUGCCCUUCCCUGUAUUAGGCAGUACUAUCUCUUUUUUCACAAAAGAAAAAACAUUGUUUUGUGUUCUGAGCUCCUGGCUUUAUUGUACAUUCUUGCAUAUGUAAAUUUACAUAUUGUAAAUUCUCCUGGCAUUCCUUCCUCUCCUCCAUUUUUCCUAUUAUAAUCACCUUACCACCAAGCUGUCAGUAUUCUGUAUUUCCCCGGGGGAAUACUACCUGUGAACUAAUCAAAGAAGCCUUUGCCCUCAGGGAGUUUACAUUCUAGUUGCAGGAAAAGGAAAUAUAUAAAUAUACAGUAUACUAUCCGUUGUGGCUCAGCUGGUAAAGAAUUCACCUGCAGUGCUGGAGACCUGGGUUCGAUCCCUGGGUUGGGGAGAUCCCCUAGAGAAGGGAAAGGCUACCCACUCCAGUAUUCUGGCCUGGAGAAUUCCAUGGACCGUAUAGUCCAUGGGGUCGCAAACAGCUGGACAGGACUGAGCGACUUUCACUUUCACUUAACUUUCACAGUAUAGUAUCAGAUACUGAUAAUGGUUAUGGAGAAUGUAUCAGAAUUCUGGCAGGAAACAGAUGGCUCAUUCAAACUGGAUAAUUCAGAUUUCAUGAAGAGGCCGGGAAGGAUUAUAGAAAUCAACAAGGGAUGGAGAAGAGCCUACACAAAGUCUAAGCUGAUAGAACUAUCUUCUGUCACCCAUUCCACAUUGCCUUACCUUCUGCCAGCAUCUCAGUGGCA
RNAcentral lists this long non-coding RNA (1371 nucleotides) under Bos mutus (wild yak). RNAcentral's name for it is "lncRNA (ENSBMUG00000014548.1)". Lineage: Eukaryota; Metazoa; Chordata; Mammalia; Artiodactyla; Bovidae. The record is from RNAcentral.